CUUUACUGUUAAUACUCCCACUGAAUUUGCAUAUUAGCUAAAUAUUUCGUUUCACCCGUGACAUUUAGAUUUAACAUUUAGAUAACGUAAAAAAAAAAAAAAAAAAAAAAACUCAAUUUUUUUUUUUUUUUUUUUUUUUUUUUUUUUUUUAUUUCUAAACAUGGUUUGCUGCUAAAUAUUGCAAAAAGUUGCUGUUUAUUUUAGCAUGCGUAACUUUGCAAUCGGCGCCCCAUAUUAGUGGUAAAUUAUAGGUCGAAUUGUAACAGAAAUUAAAGUGUCACAGUUCAAUUUUCCAUCACCAACUAUAAAGUAAAGAGUUCACCACUUAUUGACCAAAUAAAGCUCGAUCAUUCUGUGUCCAUACUAGUUUAUUGCGCACAGAAGCACAUGAGUGUCUGUCAUAGCACAGCAGUAGCAGACGGUAGUGAUCCUAAGACUUGUUGCCCAUUCGGCAGUAGGAGGGAGGGAGGGAGGGAGGGAGAGAGCGUCCCGGAGCUGUCAAACCCUCUCUAUGGACGAACAGCGACACUUUAAUCCAUCACAAAAACAACUCGCAAGAUUAUCCUUUAUCUUCAUCGUGGCACAGGUACUACUUCCUCGCCUCUGCACCCGGAAGCCUGUGUUUUUUUUUUUUUUUUUUUUUUUUUCUAACAUCAUCAUCAUCAUCAUUUUGUCACAUGGCUUUGGAAGAAUUCAAUAACAACAAAAAAUGGCGACAAUCACGUUGCUUCGUGUGCUCUUGCUGCGUCAUUAAAAAUAUUCAUGCAGACAACAGGGAUUCGAGGGGGAACCUGCAGCGGAGCUAAUGGAGUUGUUUACAUCAAGUGCGGAGGGCGGACUGAAGGGGGCGGAGCCUCACCACAGAGGCGAGGAGGCGGAGCCUGUGAGGAGAUUCACAACAAGUUUGACGUCACUCGGUCUGGUGGUGAGGAGGAAGAGGAAUACCACAGUGUGCACUUCUGUCUUGUAAAUUUGUAUUUUUCAAAUAAAUGAAAAAAAAAA
This 1002-nucleotide long non-coding RNA is filed under the name Gouania willdenowi (blunt-snouted clingfish). RNAcentral's name for it is "lncRNA (ENSGWIG00000009044.1)". Lineage: Eukaryota; Metazoa; Chordata; Actinopteri; Blenniiformes; Gobiesocidae. The record is from RNAcentral.